GGCUCAGAUUGAACGCUGGCGGAAUGCUUACACAUGCAAGUCGAACGGCAGCACGGGUGCUUGCACCUGGUGGCGAGUGGCGAACGGGUGAGUAUGCACCGGAACGUAUCCAAUAAUGGGGGAUAACGCACCGAAAGGUGUGCUAAUACCGCAUACGCCUGAGGGGAAAGCGGGGAUCGUAAGACCUCGCGUUAAUGGAGCGGCCGAUGCCGGAUUAGCUAGUUGGUGAGGUAAAGGCUCACCGAGGCGACGAUCCGUAGCUGGUCUGAGAGGACGACCAGCCACACUGGAACUGAGACACGGUCCAGACUCCUACGGGAGGCAGCAGUGGGGAAUUUUGGACAAUGGGCGCAAGCCUGAUCCAGCCAUUCCGCGUGAGUGAAGAAGGCUUCGGGUUGUAAAGCUCUUUCGCAAGGAAAGAAAACUUAUCUCCUAAUACGAGGUGAGGUUGACGGUACCUUGAUAAGAAGCACCGGCUAACUACGUG
RNAcentral lists this ribosomal RNA (487 nucleotides) under uncultured bacterium. RNAcentral's name for it is "bacterial SSU rRNA". It matches the Rfam family "Bacterial small subunit ribosomal RNA", at positions 21 to 507 of the family's 1533-position model. The record is from RNAcentral.